Long non-coding RNA from Amphiprion ocellaris (clown anemonefish), 979 nucleotides. NCBI's taxonomy places the organism in Eukaryota, Metazoa, Chordata, Actinopteri, Pomacentridae. The record is from Ensembl.
GUGAUCAUCUUACUGAAAUAUGCCAUCUUUACUUUCGCUUCCCGCACCCAGUCCUGUGUGGAUGCUAGGCUCGGGCUAGCGCUGGAUUUACUUAGAAAACAGACCAUAAAAGAGGUAUUUAGACACUAAAGUUAACUGCAAACGUUACGGAAGUAGACAGGAAUCAUCAGACAUCUUUGAACCACGUAGAAAUCGAUAUUCCGGCUGCUUUUUUUUUUUUUUUGAGGACUCUCUUCAGUGGGACUUCGAUCUCCAUCCAUCUGCCACUGUGUGUUGCUGUCUAUCCACGUCCACAUCUCCAUCACGCUGGGAUCGGCCAUCACCUCGGACCAUCUCGUUGGACGUUCAUUAUAAGGGGGAGUUUGCAAAAUCAUCUCGCGGGCCAGAAAGGACCCUCUGGAGGGCCGGUUAUGGCCUGCGGGCCUUAUGUUUGACACCUCUGAGCUAAACCACGUUGCCCGGGAUCCAUCCAUCACGGCACUUGGCGGGCUCAACUAGAAAAAGGCGGCGCUUUUAUCAAUACAACGGCUCAGGGAUGGAAAGUUCCGGAAUGUUUAGUUGUUGUUCUCCAAGACUAAGACGAAGAUCUGAUACAGGAAGAUAAAAUCCCCCACGGUUCAGAGCCAAGUGCUCGGCUUCGACCUCCAACAAUAAGGAGCCAAAGUGCGAUUAAUCCGUCAGGAAACAAAGAAAUAUCUUCCCCCAAAGAACUCCAGCAUCCAGCUUUCCUAAAGUCUCGUCAUUCUGUCAACACGAACGUUCGGCUCCGGCCCUGAUUUAGGUUUUUAUUGCCAUCUGUUCUGAGUCCAAACAUUUUAUUUUUAGAUCUGAAUUCCACAGUUUCAGGUGGACAUGAUUGAAAAAAGAUCCACCUAAUGACUGCUGGAGAUAAUAAUCAACAUGUGUGCCGGACAAACUGUUUCCUGAAAGCACAGUUUGUGAUUGAGACGUCUUUGGAACCCACAAAUAUGAAGCAAGU